CGUCUCUGUGAACGCCCUCGGAGAGAGAGAUGCGUCUGUGUCAUCGCUGACAUGUUCACUCUAGUGCACUUGUUACGUUGAGGAAGUGGUGGUGAGUGGCACUUGGAUGAGUAUCAUCCGCUCUUGAUUUGGCACCGUGAGAAAACGCGUCAGAUGCCGCGCUGCGAUGGACGCGAUCGGAGUAUCGCACACGGAUCCGCUCGAUGACUAUGAGCUGAUACACCGCAUCGGCAGCGGGACAUACGGAGAUGUGUUUAAGGCCCGUAGCAUUAAGACUUCAGUCAUCACAGCUAUUAAAGUGGUCAAACUGGACCCUGGUGAUGACAUUUCAAGCAUUCAACAUGAGAUAACCAUGAUGAAAGAUUGCACUCACAAAAACAUUGUGGCCUAUUUCGGUAGCUACCUCAGAAAUAACAAGUUAUGGAUCUGCAUGGAAUUCUGUGGAGGAGGAUCAUUGCAGGAUAUUUACCAUGUCACUGGUCCUCUGAAAGAGAGACAAAUAGCUUAUGUGAGCAGAGAAACACUUCAGGGUCUACAUCAUCUCCAUCAAGGGGGGAAAAUGCAUAGAGACAUAAAAGGUGCCAACAUCCUUUUGACGGAGCGAGGAGAUGUCAAACUAGCGGAUUUUGGAGUGGCAGCUGAGAUCAACGCAUCUGUUGCUAAGAGAAAGUCCUUUAUCGGGACGCCAUACUGGAUGGCCCCAGAGGUUGCAGCAGUGGAAAGGAAAGGCGGUUAUAACCAGCUGUGUGACAUCUGGGCAGUGGGGAUCACAGCUAUUGAACUAGCAGAGCUGCAGCCGCCCAUGUUUGACCUACACCCUAUGAGAGCUUUGAUGCUAAUGUCCAAGAGCAGUUUUCAACCUCCCAAACUCAAAGAAAAGAACAAAUGGUCCACAGAAUUUCACAACUUCAUUAAAAUGGCUCUUAUAAAGAGCCCUCGGAAAAGACCGACAGCAGAAAAAAUCUUACAGCAUGCUUUUGUCACGCAGCUUCUCACACGUAACCUUGUUAUAGAGCUGCUGGAUGCAGUCAAUAACCCUGAUCUGCAGCAGACACACACUAUGGAUGAGAGUGACCUGGAGACAUGCAGUGUCCUACCUGAUAAGAUUCAUUCCCUAGCGAAACGUCCCAUUCAAAGAACUCGGUCUGAAGAGCAAUUCGGUCACGUGAAGUUUGGACCACCCAUGAGAAAGGAGACGGAUCCCUGUUCUGAUCUGGGGGCGUAUGAGGACUGGAGCUCUAUCAGUGCGGACAAGGACUCACCGAGUUUGUUAGAGUGUGUGGAAGAGGCCUUGAUGGAAAGGAGUUUGACUAUAAAGAGAGGCUCUUCUGCGGAGCACUCACCGGAUGAAGAGGAUAAAUAUGGGACGGUGAAGAGAGUGGUCUCUUCUCCCCAGUCAACAACUACAACAACCAAUCAAGAGAGAAAAGCUCCCACUCCCUGUUCCCUCUCCUCGCCUCUCAUUGGCUCCACGCCUCUGAAGGGCCCCGCCCCUGACUCUAACCCCGCCCUAGUCAAUGAAUCCGCUUUCCUGAUUGGUUCAACACUGUCAGAUCUGUCACUCCUCACAAACUCCUCCUUCUUCAGUGAUUCCACCAGUCUAGGUUCCCUUUGUUCAACACCAACUGAAGGUUUGAUAGCAGAGAGCUCUGUCACUCCAGACCCAGGAGGAACCAGGAGUCAUUUUCCCCCAAAUGACCCCCCUCUCUCUCCAGAAUGGAGCACUCUCAGGAGGAAACCAGAUGACUCUAAAGUUGUCCAUGGACUGCCACCUACACCACAAGUACAUAUGGGGGCCUGUUUCUCUAAAGUAUUCAACGGCUGUCCGUUAAAGACCCAAUGUGCUGUUACAUGGGUUCUACCAAAGACUAGAGAUCAGUACCUUAUGCUGGGUGCUGAGGAGGGCAUCUACACUCUCAACCUCAAUGAGCUCCAUGAGGACACCAUGGAAAAGUUGCUUCCUCAGAGAUGCAGUUGGUUGUACGUGAUGAACAAUGUCCUUAUGUCCAUCUCAGGAAAGUCAUCACAGUUGACUUCUCAUAGUCUGCCGGCCCUCUUUGAGUACCGCAGGAAUAUGCAGCGUAGACAGGGGCAUCUGGUGAUGAACGCACACCGCUUGAGCACAAAGAUAAGCGCAAGGAGGUAUGCCAUGUCAGUAAAGAUCCCAGACACCAAGGGCUGUAGAAGAUGCAGUGUGGUUCGAAACCCCUACACUGACAGCGUUUUCCUUUGUGCUGCUGUUCCCACUGGUUUGGUUCUUCUAAUGUGGUAUGAACCUCUGCAGAAGUUCAUGCAGCUCAAGCACAUUGCUCUGAAUCUGCCAGAGUCUCUGCCCGUCUUUGAGCUGCUCGUAAACGAAACAGAGGAGCUGCCACAGGUCUGUGUGGGGGUGAGAAGCUAUACCUGCCAAAAAGACAACACUGGACAGAUGUACUUUGACAUCAUUCACCUGGAUGACACACCACAAAGUCUACCAGAUGGUGAGUCUUUGGAGGUCAAACAAGUGAUUCAGCUCGACAGGGACACAGUUCUCAUAGCACUGAAAAACACGGUGAGGGUUGUGAAUCUUCAGGGAUAUCUGAGCCAUCAGAAGACCUCUGAACUUGCUUUUGAGUUUCCCAUUCAGACACUGGUGUGUCUACAGGACAGUGUUCUUGUCUUCUGGAAACAUGGUCUGAAAGGAAGGAGUUUACAAACGAAUGAGGUUACCCAGGAGAUCACAGACAGAAGUCGGGUUUUCCAAGUUUUGGGAACAACUAGGGAUAUUAUCUUGCAAAGCACUCCUACGGAUGAUCCGUCUGCCAUGAGCAACCUGUACAUCCUCACUGGGCAUGAAAGCAGCUACUGAUGGGACUGAAACGCUGAGAAUGUUCAGUAAUAGCUGGAAACACUACAAAGGUUCCCUACUGAAAGGGUAGAGUCAGCAGGCCCAAAAAGCUCCAGGAACAGAGGAAGACAUGAUAAAGUCACAUACACAGGUCUCCAGAGGCUUUGAGGACCGGAGGCAGAAUUGGAGUUGACGUGGAUGAACAAAGAUCAACCAUGAGAGAGUGACCUGUGGACCUGCAUACUGUGUUGAAAUAACUUGUGAAUCAGGCUGCUAUGGGUUCUGUUUAAUACUAGACACUCUGUUGUAUUCCUUGUUUCAGGAAAUACCAUGUCAUAUAUCAACGUUUUUGUGCAGUGGUUCAGAACUAUCUUCCAUUGGCCACCGUACGCUACUCUUGUGUUGGACGGGGUGAAGACCGUAGAGAGCCGCUGGCGGCCCCUGCUGUCAGGACUGAGGAACUGCACGCUAGCGGUUCACAUCGCUCAGAAGAGCUGGGAGGGAGAGGACUGGAGACUCAUCC
Molecule: RNA transcript, 3350 nt
Organism: Carassius carassius (crucian carp)
Lineage: Eukaryota; Metazoa; Chordata; Actinopteri; Cypriniformes; Cyprinidae
Gene: map4k6
Gene name: mitogen-activated protein kinase kinase kinase kinase 6
Exons: 33
Source: RefSeq, a predicted model, not a curated record